Molecule: non-coding RNA, 1515 nt
Organism: Vicugna pacos (alpaca)
Lineage: Eukaryota; Metazoa; Chordata; Mammalia; Artiodactyla; Camelidae
Source: RefSeq, a predicted model, not a curated record
GGGAAAGCGCCCGUGGGUACUGUUCACCGGGUUCUGAAGCACAGUACAGGAUCUUGCUCCCCGUGAGGUGUCAGUGAGAACGACAGAACGAGAGAAUGACAGUCAGAGGGAGCGUUCACCCUCUGUGCACCGCAGCAGGAGCUCAGGGCCUCGGGGCCGCCAUUCCCUCCGCCACACACAACAUGGCGGCCACCUGGCCCCACUUCCCUACUUCCGUUUCCGGGGCUGAACCUCUCCGGUUGCCCAGGAGCCUCUUGGAAGCUAACAGUGUAAGGAGCGUCUGCUACUUUCCCUUCUCUUCUUGCCUCCACUCCGCUCAGCUUGACCGGGCGACCCGCGGCUUGUCGGGUGCAGCGGAAGCUCCCAAGUAGCUGAGAAGUUCAUGGAAUCUCCUUAUUGGUACAACUUUCACUAUUGUUUGUGUGGGGUACAGGUGAGCAGACAUUUCUCAAGCACACUGUUCACAUACACAGCACAUGGAGACUUGAUUUCAAAAAGGCAAAAGAAAUAGGUUUGAGUAAUUGGUACCCGGACACAAGAAGGCUGGGAGAGAUCAGGAGACCAAAUGCCACACAGAGUGGACCUUAAGACAUGAGACCAGCAAGGACACAGAAUGGAGAAGGACAAGAGAAACAUCAUCAGGGGUGGGGAGGACAGGGGAGCGAUGAAGGGACAUGGAAAUGAUAGAGGGUAGCUCUUCAGAUGUAUCCUAGAAAUCCUAAAACUUGCACAAGCAUGCACCUGCAUGCACUUACUCACACCCGGCCUAGAUUGAAGAAGAGCAGCUCUCAAUGUUUGCUCUGUGCCUGUAUCUUCCAGAACACCUCCCUGCUAGAGGUGUGUAGCCUUCACUGUCCAAGGAGUCUGAAUCAGAGGUCUAGGUCAGGCCCACGUGUCUGCUGCCAUGUAAUACUUGUAAGCUGGGCUCAUUCUUGGUCAGGACAAUAGGCUGCUGUGAAUACUAGCAGCUUGGAGAAGGCAGCAUGGCAUCCUGCAGUGCUUCUGUUAAACCACCCUGUCGGGUCAGCCUGAGCAACUUCCCUCCAUGGACCUCAGUUUCCCUCAACUAUAAAGUGAAGGCCUUAGCUGGACCCCCGAGUAACUGUAACACUCAGACUUCUCUGAAAUCGGGUAUGUGGGGUUCCCUCCUCCCUGAGGAGCUGGGGGGGUGGGCUACUUUUUAGAAAACCUUGAAUCUGAGGCUACAUCCCAAUUUGGUGAUUCCACCUAAAUGAUAUGUUUUCUCUAAAAAGCACUUUACCACAUUCUCUCAUCUAAUAUUUAUACUGAGAAUUGAUGAAAACAUCAGGAGCAAAUUAUGCGGAAGUGGCUCAGAUGUAUUCCCUGACUCAGGUGGACUUGAGGGGCUAGGGGUGGAAGAGAGAAAGUGACUAUCACUGGUGCUCAGGUUUAAAACAAUGAAGAAAAAAUGGAGCUUAGACCUUAAUCCUUUCAUAAAACAUUCUCACCCCAAGUUGGUCACUAAAUUCCUGGGAUUAGCCUCCUCUCUCCCAC